GACGAACGCUGGCGGCGUGCUUAACACAUGCAAGUAGAACGGAAAGGCCCUGCUUGCAGGUGACUCGCGAGGCAAACGGGUUUGUAACCCGGGGGUGAACUGCCCUGCACUUCGGGUUAAGCCUGGGAAACUGGGUCUAAUACCGUAUAUAAUCUCCCAUGUUGUUAGUUGUGGGGUAAGAUUUAUCGGUGUGGGAUGAACGCGCGGCCUCUCAGCUGGUUGGUGGGGUAAUGGCUUAUAGAGGCGUCGACGGGUAGCCGGCCUGAGAGGGUGGAAGGCCACAUUGGGACUGAGAUACGGCCCAGAGUCCUACGGGAGGCAGCGGUGGGGAAUAGUGCAAAAUGGGCGGAAGCCUGAUGCAGCGACGCCGGGUGGGGGAUGACGGCCUUAGGGUUGGAAACCGCUUGCGACAGGGACGAAGCUUCGGUGACGGUACCUGUAUAAGAAGCACCGGCUAACUACGUG
RNAcentral lists this ribosomal RNA (465 nucleotides) under uncultured bacterium. RNAcentral describes it as "partial 16S ribosomal RNA". It matches the Rfam family "Bacterial small subunit ribosomal RNA", at positions 28 to 507 of the family's 1533-position model. The record is from RNAcentral.